Long non-coding RNA from Ostrea edulis (European flat oyster), 405 nucleotides. RefSeq lists it as uncharacterized. The record is from RefSeq and is a predicted model, not a curated record. The transcript is spliced from 3 exons. NCBI's taxonomy places the organism in Eukaryota, Metazoa, Mollusca, Bivalvia, Ostreida, Ostreidae.
GAGAACUGUCGAAACAGAAAUGAGAGAGAUUGGCAUGACCUGGGGCAAAAUUGAAAAGACUGCUAAAGACAGAGAGGAAUGGAAGAAACUAGUCCUUGCCCUAUGUGCCCAUGGGCGCAACAAGGACUAGGUAGCAUUGGCCGCUUAUGCCUUAUGUGAAAAGUUCACCCAACAGACCUUUUCUCCAAACAGUGUCAAAGGCUUGUUUGAAGUCUUUAAAACUGAUGCCAUUUCUUUCUGAUGACCCUAUCCCCAUCUUUAUCAAAAGCUGUUCGCGGGAAUGUCCUAUCCCACAAUGCCUGCAUGGAAUAGUUUGGUUUGGUGCAGACGAUCUCUGCCGGAAGUUUGUAUUAGAACUGUACAAUUUUGGAACUCUUCAGAAAAAGAAGUUAAGAAAAUUAUCUG